RNAcentral lists this ribosomal RNA (712 nucleotides) under Leiogalathea pallas. Its description in RNAcentral is "partial 28S large subunit ribosomal RNA". It matches the Rfam family "Eukaryotic large subunit ribosomal RNA", at positions 685 to 1138 of the family's 3401-position model. The record is from RNAcentral. Lineage: Eukaryota; Metazoa; Arthropoda; Malacostraca; Decapoda; Munidopsidae.
UGCGAGUCAAUGGGCGCACUAAACCCACAGGCGAAAUGAAAGUGACACAAUACUUGAAAGAGUGUAAUGCUCUUUGGGCUGAUCCUCGACCGGCUGUGGGCAGAUUGGUUAUAUGGGCGAGAGAAGUGGGUGGGUGAGUCCCUUUCCCCAUUUCACCUCUCGUCUGUCCUUUUUGUCUUGUACGAAGGUCUUUGCUCCUUCGGGAGGGGGCGCAAGCCCGGGACUUGCCAUAUGACGCGCUGCAUUUGCAAUGCUUCCUCAUUUUUCUUUUUUUUUCCCCCCCUUUUUCCCUUCGGGGUGUUGGGGGGGUUUGGAUUGAUUGAUGUUGGUUGUUUGUACUAUGUGGUUGUAGUCGGCAAGUACCUUGAGCAUACAUGUUAGGACCCGAAAGAUGGUGAACUAUGCCUGGCCAGGAUGAAGCCAGAGGAAACUCUGGUGGAGGUCCGUAGCGAUUCUGACGUGCAAAUCGAUCGUCGGAGCUGGGUAUAGGGGCGAAAGACUAAUCGAACCAUCUAGUAGCUGGUUCCCUCCGAAGUUUCCCUCAGGAUAGCUGGUGCUCAUUGAAUGAAUUUCAUCCGGUAAAGCGAAUGAUUAGAGGUCUUGGGGAUGAAACGUUCUCAACCUAUUCUCAAACUUUAAAUGGGUGAGAUGCCAAGCUUGCUUAAAGAGUGAAGCUUUGGCGAUUAAUCAGAGUAUCUAGUGGGCCACUUUU